Camelina sativa (false flax) is the source of this 3120-nucleotide RNA transcript. It is a transcript of the gene named mitogen-activated protein kinase kinase kinase 9-like, with no coding region annotated. The record is from RefSeq and is a predicted model, not a curated record. NCBI's taxonomy places the organism in Eukaryota, Viridiplantae, Streptophyta, Magnoliopsida, Brassicales, Brassicaceae.
UCAACUUUACCCAAUCGUUCAUCGUAGGAAAUGAAGGAGUCGUCGGAUAAGUCACCGGUGCGGCGACAUGACACGGCGAAGCAUAACAACUCUGAGGCAGUGUCUUCUUCUAGUUCCUUCACUGAUACCGACUCGACUUGUUCCUUGGUGACGCCCUCAAUGGAGUUCCCGGACCGCAUCAGUUUCCGGGAAAUGGAUUUGGGAGAAGCAGGUCCUAGUGGUGUCGUUCUAGCUUCUAGUUCAACGAAUCGGGACGUUGCUGAGUUGACUCGUUCCGAGUCUGGGGAUUUUACUGAGUUGUUGAUGCCUUCCGAGUCGAACGAGGUUGGGAGUUUAAGUACUCCGGCACGAAAGCUUGUUCCCAAUGAAGAGAUUCCCCUUUCACCAUCUUCGCUGAUGGAUAGAAUUGUAGCUCUUAUGAAGAAAUCGUCGGGACGAAGAGGAGAUAAGACUAGUCCGGGCGGGAAGCUAAAGCGGAGUGUUGCGGCGAAGAAUAUCAAAUAUGAUGCAGCUGAAGAUCCUUCUUUGUUGACGACUCGUUCUUUGGAUUUCCUGAAUCGUACUAGUUUUCGAGUCGUAGGAAAUGAUGAAGGAGAAAUGGAUCGGAUUUGUAAUUAUUUUGGUGUUUCUCGUUCUGAAGAUUUUGCGAUUUCUUCUGAUGCUUGGGAAGCUCGUAAGAAGCGUUCCUCUUCAGAUGUUACUAAUGGGUUUAAGUCUCUUGACCUUGAUAGUAACAAGGUUCAGGCUCAGGAUUUGAGUGAACCAGGUCCUACUGGUGUUGUUCUUGAUGCUUCUAACUCAAUGAAUCUGGACAUUACUAAGUUAACCCCUUACGAUUCUAGGGAUAUUGCGGUUGCUGGUUGUGGUGGACUCAAGGGGGUAAGACCACCAGUACUAAACCUUCCCCCUGCGGAUAACAGAGUUGUUGAUGGUGGUAAGGUAGCGAAUAGGCGUGGUAUUGGUGGGGGUAUUAAGGGGGUAAGACCAUCAGUACUUAAGCCUCCUCCGGUGAUGAAGCUACCUCCACUUGAUCUUGCGGGAUCAUCUUGGGAUUUCCUUACUCAUUUUGCUCCUGAAAGCUCAACAGUUAGGCGGCCAAGUUCUUCUUCUUCUUCUUCCGAAAAUGGCUGUGAUGAAGAGGAAGUCCGGGGAGAUAUUUCUAUCGAGUUGGAGGAUAGGACUGAUGAGGCAUGCUCAUUCACUACAAACGAGUGUGACUCCUCAAGUACAGUAUCCAAUACCUCGCCUAUUUUUGUCUCCGGAGGACCUAUCAAUACUUCUUGGCAGAAGGGUCAACUUAUGCGACAAGGAUCAUUUGGCUCUGUGUAUGAAGCCAUCUCAGAAGAUGGGGACUUCUUUGCUGUCAAGGAAGUUUCACUUCUUAAUCAGGGAAGUCAGGCACAAGAAUGCAUACAACAAGUUGAAGAGGAGAUUGCACUACUUAGUCAGCUUCAGCAUCAGAAUAUUGUGCGAUAUCGUGGCUCAACCAAGGAAGGAUCGAAUUUGUACAUCUUUCUUGAGCUUGUAUCCCAAGGGUCCCUACUAAAACUCUACGAAAGAUACCAGCUUCGGGACUCUGUAGUCUCCUUGUACACAAGACAGAUUCUUGACGGUUUGAGAUAUCUCCACGAUAAAGGUCUUGUUCACAGGGACAUCAAAUGUGCAAAUAUAUUGGUGGACGCUAAUGGCGCCGUCAAACUUGCAGAUUUUGGAUUGGCAAAGGUGUCAAAGUUGAACGAUAGUAAGUCCUGCAAGGGAAAUCCAUUUUGGAUGGCUCCGGAGGUUAUUAACCCUAAGGGUAAUGAUGUGUAUGGAAGUCCAGCUGAUAUAUGGAGCCUUGGGUGCACUGUGCUCGAAAUGUGUACUGGCCAGAUCCCUUACUCUGAUCUACAACCGGUUCAAGCCCAUAUUAGGAUCGAAAUGGGUACGCUUCCAGACAUACCGGAUACUCUAUCGCUAGAUGCCCAGGAUUUCAUAGUUACAUGUCUGAAAGUGAACCCGGAAGAGCGGCCAACUGCAGCUGAACUGCUGAACCAUCCAUUUGUGAGAAGGCCCUUACUAUCCUCGGGCUCAGGAGGCUCAGUAUCUCCGCUUAUCCGUAGAUGAGGUGUAACCAGAAGAUUUAUGAGGGGUUUGGGUUGUGCAGGAAGAGCUAAACUGGCCUGGAGACAUAUCUUCAGGCUAUGCCUUACAAGAAAGAAAAUCGACUAAAGAUAUACAAAAUAUUCACAUGAGAUACGAUACGUGAUGUGCAAGAGAUAUGAAACUUGGAGAAGAAUGUCCGGUUUGGAUUUGAUGGUUCCAUCCGGUAUGAGUUUGAUGGUUCGAUUUGAUGGUUCGGUUUAAUACCCCCUCAAGUUGGAGCGUAUGGAUUACAAACGCCUAAGUUGGAUCGGAGAUAUUCGAACUCUCGCUGUCCAAGUCCCUUUGUAAAAAUGUCGGCUAACUGCUCAGCUGAGGCCACCUUCCGUGUAGAUAUCAACUUGUCUUGACUGCAUUGGGCACAUUAUGACAAUCAAUUUCAAUGUGCUUCGUUCUUUCAUGAAAAACUGGGUUUGCCGCAAUGUACAAUGCUGAUUGAUUGUCACACGCAAGGCUCAUCGGAGAAUCUUGUGUUACGCCUAAGUCCUUGAGUAAAGCUUUCAACCACUUCAGCUCGUCCACCGUCAAUGACAUACAACAAUACUUUGCUUCAGCUGAUGACCGAGAAACCACAUCCUGUUUCUUGGCUUUCCAUGAGAUUGGUGAGGAACCAAGAGUGACGAACCAACCACUAAGUGAUUUUCUUGUCAACUGACAUCCUCCAUGAUCAGAGUCACACCAUCCAUGUAACUAGAGAUCACAAUCAGAUUGAAGAAAAAUACCUUGUCCUGGAGUCCCCUUAAGAUAUUGAACAACCCGUUGAGCUGCCGCCCAAUGAUCUCUACGUGGUUCUUGCAUGAAUUUUGAUAAGAUAUGAACAACAUACGUAAGAUCAGGCCGUGUAGCUCCAAGAUAGAGUAAUCUCCCAACAAGUCUUCUAUACUUUUAUGGUUCUUCAAACCUCAAACUUGUAGACGAUUCCAACCCAUGUCCCUGUUCUAUCCAAAAACCCCAUUUCACUUAUAAUAUCAAGAGCAU